Long non-coding RNA from Carassius auratus (goldfish), 1697 nucleotides. RefSeq lists it as uncharacterized. Lineage: Eukaryota; Metazoa; Chordata; Actinopteri; Cypriniformes; Cyprinidae. The record is from RefSeq and is a predicted model, not a curated record. The transcript is spliced from 5 exons.
AGGGGCCUCCUGCGCCUACUAGUAGGCUCAGAAGGCCGUGAUCAUCCAUCCAAAUGGUUGAUCACCCACAAAUAUACAAGAGAAGACUCCAGAUCCAAUCCCAGAAUUCCUGCUCACCGGUAAUCGGAAGUCUACUGGACGAAAGCGGCAACGUUGCGAUAUUUCCUGCUUAAUAUUUUCAGAUAUGGGAAAAGCUCUUAAGAUGACCACACGUUUCAGGAACGUUAAAAUUAAGUUGGUAAGGAGGUCUAUUGCGGGCCCUGCAAAGUUUUCUUACCUCAGUCAAGGUCUUCCUCAGCCCAGCUACAAACAGACCCACCCUUCAGACCCUUCUAUUACAUCUCAACUGGCUGAACCUGAUGAUGUGACACAAAGCUGUUCUGAGAGCGCAUACAGUAAGGCAAAGAAGAGAGAGCUUCAUGCCUGGGAUGCAGUCAAGGAUGAGAUGCUUAAGGUGACGUUUGAAUGUUCAGCAUCAGUCACUACCCAGUGUGCUGUCUGCAGAGAACAUGCUGAUUAUAGGUGCAUUGAGUGCAGCUCCACUGCAGUGUUCUGUGAGGUUUGCCUGAAGAGGACUCACAGAAAUUCACUGCAUCUUCCUGAAAAGUGGAACGUAAGAACAAUAGCAUACCGUCUUACAUUGCUAUUGCUAUACUUGCAUACAGACAGCAAACUCACAGUAAUCUCAACAGAUUCAUUAGAUACUUCAAAUUGUUUUAGCACUAUGCAGUAUCAACUGUUAGUGUCACAAGUUUGUUGUUUUAAAAACAUUAGAGCUAUCCAUCUUUCUUACAGAAUGUUUACUAUGAGCCAUCCUCCCUGGGGUUAUUCUUAUAUUUACCUGAAGGCCAUGGCACCCAUGCUGUGUACACAAAGGACAUGAAGGUCAUUGUCAGCACAGGAUGGCUCUGCACAGUUACAGUCACCAUGUGUGCGUGUGAACCAGAAACCUGUACUCUGCUGAGGUAUGGGCUCUGACCAGCAACAGCCACAAGCCCCAGACAGCCUUCUCCAUCCCUUUGCUAGAGCUUUCUGUUUCUCUGUCACUGGAGUGUCAGGUUUCUGUUGAGGGUUUUUGCAACACCCCAUAUCCCAUUUUAGGCAUCACCACUUCCGACAAAGAAGUUUGGUUGAUAUUUGCCCACAAUUAAAUGAUGGAACCAUUUUCCCAGCAUGUCCAAAGGCGGAUGGAGAUAUGAUUGUCACAUUGGAUGCCAACUUUGGCCUUUUGAGGAAGCAAAGCUCCAGUACAAGUGCGGUUGAUCCAUUACACAGAACCCGCAUGUUUAGAGGGAUACCUGCUAUCACAUCUUGACAGCUCAAAGCCUCAAGAGGACUGCAGUAAGCUGCUCUCAUUCAAGGUCUCCAACAGCUGGAAAGAAAAUGACAUCAAGCCACUGUGAUGUUUCACCCACAUGCACAAGACAUUAUAGAUAUAUAAUAUAAUAUAAUUAUAAUAUAUAAAUAAUUUAAUUACUUUACUGCAUUACUUGUGCAGACAUGUUGUUUUACUAGGUCUGAUCUAUUUAAGCUUAGGCACUGUAUUUAAGCAUACAUAUCCCCACUAGUCUGUCUGUAUGAGUACAAAAUUAAAAAAAUAAACUGUCUAUAAUUGUUAAUGUACAAGCACAGUAAAAUAUUUAUAUAAAAAAUAUUGCACUACUGUUAUUUUGCAUAGAAUACAUUGUUCAACAAUA